UACGUAGGGGGCUAGCGUUGUCCGGAAUCAUUGGGCGUAAAGAGCUCGUAGGUGGUUUGUCGCGUUGUUCGUGAAAACCGGGGGCUUAACCCUCGGCGUGCGGGCGAUACGGGCAGACUUGAGUACUGCAGGGGAGACUGGAAUUCCUGGUGUAGCGGUGGAAUGCGCAGAUAUCAGGAGGAACACCGGUGGCGAAGGCGGGUCUCUGGGCAGUAACUGACGCUGAGGAGCGAAAGCGUGGGGAGCGAACAGG
Molecule: ribosomal RNA, 253 nt
Filed under: uncultured bacterium
Lineage: Bacteria
Description: partial 16S ribosomal RNA
Rfam family: Bacterial small subunit ribosomal RNA
Source: RNAcentral